UACAGAGGGUGCAAGCGUUAAUCGGAAUUACUGGGCGUAAAGCGCGCGUAGGCGGUUUGUUAAGUCAGCUGUGAAAGCCCCGGGCUCAACCUGGGAAUUGCUGUUGAUACUGGCAAGCUAGAGUGUGGUAGAGGGUAGUGGAAUUCCAGGUGUAGCGGUGAAAUGCGUAGAUAUCUGGAGGAACAUCAGUGGCGAAGGCGGCUACCUGGACCAACACUGACGCUGAGGUGCGAAAGCGUGGGGAGCAAACAGG
This 253-nucleotide non-coding RNA is filed under the name uncultured bacterium. RNAcentral's name for it is "partial 16S ribosomal RNA". It matches the Rfam family "Bacterial small subunit ribosomal RNA", at positions 524 to 776 of the family's 1533-position model. The record is from RNAcentral. RNAcentral also lists the same sequence under 1 other name.